CCUACGGGAGGCAGCAGUGGGGGAUAUUGCACAAUGGGGGGAACCCUGAUGCAGCGACGCCGCGUGGGCGAUGGAGUGCUUCGGCAUGUAAAGCCCUAUCAGCAGGGAAGAAAAUGACGGUACCUGACUAAGAAGCCCCGGCUAAAUACGUGCCAGCCGCCGCGGUAAUACGUAUGGGGCAAGCGUUAUCCGGAUUUAUUGGGUUUAACGGGUGCGCAGGCGGAUUUUUAAGUCAGCGGUCAAAUCGUGGGGCUCAACCCCAUCCAGCCGUUGAAACUGGGGAUCUAGAGUGUGCGAGAGGUAUGCGGAAUGCGUGGUGUAGCGGUGAAAUGCAUAGAUAUCACGCAGAACCCCGAUUGCGAAGGCAGCAUACCGGUGCACAACUGACGCUCAGGCACGAAAGCGUGGGUAUCGAACAGGAUUAGAUACCCGGGUAGUC
RNAcentral lists this ribosomal RNA (439 nucleotides) under uncultured bacterium. Its description in RNAcentral is "partial 16S ribosomal RNA". It matches the Rfam family "Bacterial small subunit ribosomal RNA", at positions 338 to 795 of the family's 1533-position model. The record is from RNAcentral.